RNAcentral lists this ribosomal RNA (464 nucleotides) under Campylobacter coli. Its description in RNAcentral is "partial 23S ribosomal RNA". It matches the Rfam family "Bacterial large subunit ribosomal RNA", at positions 1625 to 2074 of the family's 2925-position model. The record is from RNAcentral. Lineage: Bacteria; Pseudomonadati; Campylobacterota; Epsilonproteobacteria; Campylobacterales; Campylobacteraceae.
AGUUUAGCUAAUGUUGCCCGUACCGUAAACCGACACAGGUGGGUGGGAUGAGUAUUCUAAGGCGCGUGGAAGAACUCUCUUUAAGGAACUCUGCAAAAUAGCACCGUAUCUUCGGUAUAAGGUGUGGUUCGCUUCGUAUUAGGAUUUACUCCGAAAGCGAAGAAACUUACAACAAAGAGUCCCUCCCGACUGUUUACCAAAAACACAGCACUCUGCUAACUCGUAAGAGGAUGUAUAGGGUGUGACGCCUGCCCGGUGCUCGAAGGUUAAUUGAUGGGGUUAGCAUUAGCGAAGCUCUUGAUCGAAGCCCGAGUAAACGGCGGCCGUAACUAUAACGGUCCUAAGGUAGCGAAAUUCCUUGUCGGUUAAAUACCGACCUGCAUGAAUGGCGUAACGAGAUGGGAGCUGUCUCAAAGAGGGAUCCAGUGAAAUUGUAGUGGAGGUGAAAAUUCCUCCUACCCGCG